Molecule: long non-coding RNA, 2842 nt
Filed under: Zea mays
Lineage: Eukaryota; Viridiplantae; Streptophyta; Magnoliopsida; Poales; Poaceae
Description: long non-coding RNA (ZMAY_LNC004608)
Source: RNAcentral
GAGCCUUUUGGACUUGCAAGUAAGCUCUAGAAAAACCUUAAGGCAUCUUUGGCAGCUCCUCUCUUUCCCCUCUCUUGUGGCUGACCGAACUGUUCUUGGGCCUUAUUCGCUUAUUUCUUGCAGAAACAUGUGAUGAAGGUGAACAUACACUGACGGGUGCAAGCACAAGGUCAAGAAGCUUCUUCGGAAGAUCGAAGGUAAUAACUAUUUUGGUUCCACACUCAGUAUGGCAUCAUGGUCAGAGUCAGGUUAGGUUUAGACAAGCUAUUUAUUCCCAGUUUUCCCAUACAGCUCUCCAAAAUGGCCCCAAACCGAACCGUGCAGUUCUUGAACUACUGCUAGCAGCAGUAUGGCAACCUAUACCGUUGCAGACUAGGAUGUCGUGAUAACAAAAAAAUGACCACAUGAUUUUCUAAUUAGUAAAAAUAAAUUCUGCCGAAGAUGGUACUGUAUCUGGUUUUACCUCUAGCUUUCUUGAUUGUUGUUUAGCCUUGGCGCUCUCCAGGUUAGCCCAAGCCUGGAUCUUCGCCUCAUCCCUCUAAUACAACCCAUUUUUCAAUCGUUAAGCCAAGCCUUUUUCAAUUGUUGAGGAACUGUCGAUUAUACAUCCCAUUUUUUAUCUUGGACAAAGAUUUAAGUAAAAAUAGUGUUAACAGUUGCACUGAUAGGAAUUCUGGAACUUGAGAUCUUGGACAAAGAUUCAGUCCUGUGUUCAGAUUGGAUGUUAAGCAACCAGAGUUAGUCCAUUCUUUAUCUCUAAUACCACUAUGAUAUCAACGUUUUCUUAGAAUUCUCUGAUAAUGUAUUUCAUAUAGAUGUAUAAGACAUGUGCAAUAUAACUGAGAACAAAAACAUGUGCUUUGGAGAUGUUUAUUCCAAAUCAUUUCUGUAGCUUUUGAUACUGAUGCAUUUUUUGUUCAAUAGAGUAGGCCAACAUGAUUUUUUGUUCCGAAAUCAUUUCUUAGAAUUAUCUGUUGUUUAAUUCAAUAGAGUAGGGAUCCAACUUUUCUUAUGCGCAUGCAUUUUUUAUUUCAGAGUUUCUUAUUUGAUGAGUUCUCGUGGUCCAAGACAUAUAUAGCAGGAGCCAACUUUUCUUAUGUGCGUGUAUUUUGUAAUGCCAGCAUGCAUUUUUUUUUAUUUUAGAGUUUCUGACAUGCAUUUGGAGCAGGAGAGUGACUUAUGGAUGGCAUCUCAUGGCUGUUGUCCAAGCUACCUCGCAGUGGAUUGGAUCUAAGGCUACCCGCAGUGAGCAACGGUACGCGAAGCGCUACUGAGAUGGAGUCGUUAUACAGUAGAUAUUUUGCUGCAGCGGACAACUCUCCCAGCUACAGUAAAAUAGGGACGGGCUCAAAAAACUCCAUUUACAGAGUUCCUUUCCCCUUCACUCCAUAUCUCUCUCCUCUCUGUUUUCCCAACUAUCGCACGCGCGCGCCGGUCUGUGCGCCGACGUCCUCCUCCGUCGCCCGCGGCACAAGAGGCAAGGAGUUGCUCCGAGCACGUAGGUGCAGCAGCCCAGCUGUACUUGCUUUUGUAAAAAAAAAAAAAAUCUUGCAACAGCACCAUACGACACCUUGCAGCAGCACCGUAGCACCGUUCGGCAACAAGUGCAAGCGGCAUGUGCAAGAACGUGAACUCUAUGGUGGUAAUUGGGUGGGGAAGGGAAGAGAAUGAAAAAGGAAUGAUAUAAUAUGUGGUAGUUGGUAUAGAGUUGAGAUAUGGAGUAAAUAUGACUGCGGAGAAUUGUGGUAUAGGGUAAAUAAUUUUGCUGACAAGGACAUAAUAUUCUUUUUAGGCUAGAAAUUUAGAGUUGAAUGAGUGCGGAUAGCCUAAGAUCUCCCAAUGCUUGUUUUGCAGCAUGUAUCAGCUGGAUGCAUGUUAGGAUGCCCAGAAAUCUCAGAAUAAAAAUGAUCUUUGAUGUGUUCGUUACGAGAUCCAUUUUAUUCUGAGAUUCUCCUACUCCAACUUCUUUGAUGAGAGGCAGUGGCUGGAUCAUGAGAUUGGAUUAAUUUCUUUGGAAGGGUUUCAUUCCUGGUUUAUUACCUCGAGUUGGCAUAGAGUUCAGUACCAUAGAAGUGAUGUGGAACGGAUUGAUUUUGCUGAUUUUUAAUUUUUCUAUUUUACUUGUGUUUUGAUGAUGACCAUGAGCCUGUGUGGCUGCAUGUAUAUGUAUCUCUCAUAAAAUACUUUGUAUCUGUACUUGAAGUGAUCUGGAACGGAUUGAUUUUGCUGAUUUUUAAUUUUCUAUUGUACUUGUGUUUUGAUGAUGACCAAAGCAGCCGUCUGGCUGUCAGUUGAAGCGAGCAGGCACUUGCUUGCGGACAGGCUUUCUAUUUUACUUAUGUUUCGAUGAUGAUUGAGCUUGCGUUUUGAUGAUGUCCCAUGGCACCCCUCGUGGCUCCAAAGAGCAGCAGGACAUGGCAGCCCCGCCGGACGGUGUCCAUCCGGGGAAUUUGCAUGGCAAGGAUUUGCCUCCCCUGUGCUGGCUGCCCCAUGGUUCCCCUGGCCGGGCUGCCAAAGGAGGCCUUAGGGUGUGUAGGAUUCAGUUCAAAGUCCAAAAAUAGAAGCCCAAAUUUUUAUUUUUUUGCCUCAAUGUCAUUCAGCUUUUUUAUGUAGAAAAAGGUGAUGCUAACAGAAGCAGCACACAGGCAAAAACAGCUCUACAACAUAUGCAAUGGAAGAAGUGUCCGUGAUGCAAAAGAAGCUCCUUUAAUAGCAGACAAAGGUUACAAGAGAAAACUAAAGAAGUUUUUUUGGUUGGUUGGUUGUUGUUGUUGUUGUUGUUGCAUAAGAGGUAUGCAUUCUUAUAGUUGAAUUUGCGCAGGCAGGCCUUCACUAUGAUGAC